RNAcentral lists this ribosomal RNA (457 nucleotides) under uncultured bacterium. Its description in RNAcentral is "bacterial SSU rRNA". It matches the Rfam family "Bacterial small subunit ribosomal RNA", at positions 30 to 507 of the family's 1533-position model. The record is from RNAcentral.
AUUGAACGCUGGCGGCAUGCCUUACACAUGCAAGUCGAACGGCAGCAUGGGUGCUUGCACCUGAUGGCGAGUGGCGAACGGGUGAGUAAUGCAUCGGAACGUACCCGGAAGUGGGGGAUAACGUAGCGAAAGUUACGCUAAUACCGCAUAUUCUGUGAGCAGGAAAGCGGGGGAUCGCAAGACCUCGCGCUUCCGGAGCGGCCGAUGUCGGAUUAGCUAGUUGCGGGGUAAAGGCCACCAAGGCAACGAUCCGUAGCGGGUCUGAGAGGAUGAUCCGCCACACUGGGACUGAGACACGGCCCAGACUCCUACGGGAGGCAGCAGUGGGGAAUUUUGGACAAUGGGGGCAACCCUGAUCCAGCCAUGCCGCGUGAGUGAAGAGGCCUUAGGGUGUAAAGCACUUUCACCGAUGAAGAUAAUGACGGUAGUCGGAGAAGAAGCCCCGGCUAACUUCGUG